This is a long non-coding RNA of Sardina pilchardus (European sardine), 163 nucleotides long. RefSeq lists it as uncharacterized. The transcript is spliced from 4 exons. Lineage: Eukaryota; Metazoa; Chordata; Actinopteri; Clupeiformes; Clupeidae. The record is from RefSeq and is a predicted model, not a curated record.
GCCAGUCUUCUCUACACACCUCUCUAUGCCGUCUCUUCUGGCGGAAACAGCAAACGGAGCAGAACCAGAAUAUGUUCAAACGGUUCCUGUUCCACUACUCAAAGUCCCAGAACUCCCUAGGCUCCAUGCAGAGAGAUUCGAACUCUGUUCAUCCACUGAUGCG